UAUCGGAUUUAUCUAUCCAUCGUCGGGAGGACGGAUAGCCUGCUAAAGAUAGAACGCUCAUACAAAUCGUGCUUACUUCCGUUUCAAUAUGAGUUUUAAGUAACUCUCCGGUAGGCGGCGCUAUCUCUAGUAUGGGCAUUCGCUUAUCUGUCAAAAUCGGCCGGUUACAUGUUUAUCUUUCGAAAGUAAAUCGCUAUAAUUUAAUAAUUGUUUCUCUUCAUAUUGGCAUAUUGUAGCAGUGAUGAUAGUGAUAUGGAAUUAUUUCAAAUGAUAAUGGAUUGUGAUGCAGAUAGUGAUAGUGAGGCCGAUAUCAUAUGGUUAGGAAAAUAAAGAUCGUCUGAAUUACAUGGCGAAGAUCAAUAAUUACGAAUUUGACUAUAGAUUUCUGAGCAAAGGUGUUGUGAAUGAAUUGAUUAAUUUAAUGAGACCAUAUUUGAGUGUAACGUCAAAAAGGUAAGAUAAAUUUUAACCAUAAAAGUACUCGUUAUUACAACUUAUAUUUGUUUAUAGCAAUAGCAAAAUUAUACCUAAUUUUUGUUGUGUUACAAAAUCACACUCAACAGGAAUUCUAUAAUACUGCUGGAUUCCCAUGGUGCCCUAAAUGACAUUCAUAUACUAAUACAAUAACCUGGUAGGCUAUUUACCUUCAUUCUUAUUACACACUGAUACCUCUACAUUUUAUAUUUGUGUUACAGAUUCAAAUAUAGGAGAGGAAUUUAGAAAUAGAAAAAGAGUAUUUUGAAUGUGUAAUUUGUGUGCAAUGCAUCAUUGAUGUUUCAAAAUGUUGUUGCUUGAUGGCCUGGGUCUACUCAUGAUACAACUAUAAUUAACCAUUCCGAUUGAAAAGAUGCAUUGGUGUUUGUAAAAGAAGACUCCCUGUAUAUCAUUGAAAAGUAGAUUAAAACUAGAAAAUAUGCAAGCUGUUAUUAUAGCUGCCAUGCUGCAUAAUAUCGUCAGAAGUAUGAAUUUAGAAGAAUUAGAAUCAGAAAUUUCAGUCGCAGAUACAUUACAGGAAAAUAAUAUAAUUGUUCGUAACAAUUUUUCAAAACUUACAUCUGAAAUACAACUAUGUACUUAUAAAUAAUUGCUUCCAAAGAUAAUUUAUAAAAUAAACUCCAAAGAUAAU
Molecule: long non-coding RNA, 1126 nt
Organism: Bombyx mandarina (wild silkworm)
Lineage: Eukaryota; Metazoa; Arthropoda; Insecta; Lepidoptera; Bombycidae
Source: RefSeq, a predicted model, not a curated record